RNAcentral lists this ribosomal RNA (253 nucleotides) under uncultured bacterium. RNAcentral's name for it is "partial 16S ribosomal RNA". It matches the Rfam family "Bacterial small subunit ribosomal RNA", at positions 524 to 776 of the family's 1533-position model. The record is from RNAcentral.
UACGGGGGGGCAAGCGUUGUUCGGAUUUACUGGGCGUAAAGGGCGCGUAGGCGGCCUCUGCAAGUCGACUGUGAAAUCUCCGGGCUUAACCCGGAACGGUCAGCCGAUACUGCAGGGCUAGAGUGCAGAAGGGGCAACCGGAAUUCUCGGUGUAGCGGUGAAAUGCGUAGAUAUCGAGAGGAACACCUGCGGCGAAGGCGGGUUGCUGGGCUGACACUGACGCUGAGGCGCGAAAGCUAGGGGAGCGAACGGG